CUUCCUUAUCCUCUGCCCCCAGGCUGGUAACCAAAGUUCCCUUGAAGAAUCCACCUUCCUGCAGGGUUGGGGGAGCGCAGAAUGGGAGGAAGAUACAAAUACCAAUUUUAUAGCAAGAAUGCAAAAAGAGGCCAGCGCGGUGGCUCGAGCCUGGAAUCCCAGCACUUUGGAAGGCGAGCUGGGCGGAUCACUUGAGGUCAGGAGUUCGAGACCAGCCUGACCAACAUGGAGAAACCUCAUCUCUAUGAAAAAUACAAAAAAAAUUAGCCAGGCAUGGUGGCAUGCACCUAUAAUCCUAGCUGAGGCAGGAGAAUUGCUUGAACCUGG
Molecule: long non-coding RNA, 327 nt
Filed under: Pan troglodytes (chimpanzee)
Lineage: Eukaryota; Metazoa; Chordata; Mammalia; Primates; Hominidae
Description: long non-coding RNA NONPTRT010976
Source: RNAcentral